UGGGGAAUUUUGGACAAUGGGCGAAAGCCUGAUCCAGCAAUGCCGCGUGUGUGAAGAAGGCCUUCGGGUUGUAAAGCACUUUUGUCCGGAAAGAAAUCCUUGGCUCUAAUACAGUCGGGGGAUGACGGUACCGGAAGAAUAAGCACCGGCUAACUACGUGCCAGCAGCCGCGGUAAUACGUAGGGUGCAAGCGUUAAUCGGAAUUACUGGGCGUAAAGCGUGCGCAGGCGGUUUGCUAAGACCGAUGUGAAAUCCCCGGGCUCAACCUGGGAACUGCAUUGGUGACUGGCAGGCUAGAGUAUGGCAGAGGGGGGUAGAAUUCCACGUGUAGCAGUGAAAUGCGUAGAGAUGUGGAGGAAUACCGAUGGCGAAGGCAGCCCCCUGGGCCAAUACUGACGCUCAUGCACGAAAGCGUGGGGAGCAAACAGGAUUAGAUACCCUGGUAGUCCACGCCCUAAACGAUGUCAACUAGUUGUUGGGGAUUCAUUUCCUUAGUAACGUAGCUAACGCGUGAAGUUGACCGCCUGGGGAGUACGGUCGCAAGAUUAAAACUUCAAAGGAAUUGACGGGGUCAUAGCUGUUUCC
This 585-nucleotide ribosomal RNA is filed under the name uncultured bacterium. RNAcentral's name for it is "partial 16S ribosomal RNA". It matches the Rfam family "Bacterial small subunit ribosomal RNA", at positions 355 to 937 of the family's 1533-position model. The record is from RNAcentral.